GCUGGUUGUGCCCCAGAAAUAUCGACCCGAGUUACUGAGAAUAGCUCAUGACAUCCCGCUGUCUGGCCAUUUAGGGAUGACCCGUACCCGUUACCGCUUAACCCACGCUUUCUUCUGGCCAGGGAUUUCUAAAGAUGCGAGGCACUACUGUACCUCCUGUGAUGUGUGUCAGCGGGUAGGUAAGAGAGGGGAUCGCCACAAAGCGAAACUGUGUCCC
Pelobates cultripes (western spadefoot toad) is the source of this 217-nucleotide non-coding RNA. NCBI's taxonomy places the organism in Eukaryota, Metazoa, Chordata, Amphibia, Anura, Pelobatidae. The record is from the annotation of a GenBank genome assembly.